Molecule: ribosomal RNA, 364 nt
Filed under: uncultured bacterium
Lineage: Bacteria
Description: bacterial SSU rRNA
Rfam family: Bacterial small subunit ribosomal RNA
Source: RNAcentral
AACGAACGCUGGCGGCAGGCUUAACACAUGCAAGUCGAACGGGUGUAGCAAUACAUCAGUGGCAGACGGGUGAGUAACACGUGGGAACCUUCCUAGGGGUACGGAACAACUCAGGGAAACUUGAGCUAAUACCGUAUACGUCCGUAAGGAGAAAGAUUCAUCGCCCCUAGACGGGCCCGCGUCGGAUUAGGUAGUUGGUGGGGUAACGGCCUACCAAGCCUACGAUCCGUAGCUGAUCUGAGAGGACGACCAGCCACACUGGGACUGAGACACGGCCCAGACUCCUACGGGAGGGCAGCAGUAGGGGAAUCUUGCGCAAUGGGCGAAAGCCUGACGCAGCAACGCCGCGUGGGGGAUGACGGCC